GCAGCGGGCGGAGGCAUCCACUUUCUGCCAGUUUCUUCCCCUCGGGAACACCUGGGUCCCGCGGAGCCCCGACGCCGGGUCCGGAGCCGCGUCCUGCGGGGAGCGUGGCCGCGCGCGUCCCUCCCUUCACGCCUCAUCUCUCGCCCCUUCCGAAUACUCCGCCAAAUCGAGAGAUGAAAUGAAUCGGACGGCAGUUCCCAGCACUGCCAGGGACCGGGCAAAGCUGAAAAACUGUUAUUUCAACUGAUCAUUCGAUGUCUGUGGUCUCUUCUACUCUGACAUUCAAUGAUCCAAUGGGCUUUCCGGCCUGUUGGCCUGGGGAAGGGCUGAGCUCCUGCGAGGUGCUGGGGCGGCUCCUUUCCCUCCAUCUGCUCCCUCCUGCUGCAUCCACCCGGAGACCGUCCACCUGUGGCUACGAAAAUGAAUCAUGUAAAUCAGUAUAGAAGGAUGAUGCUCACGUUUUAGUGACCAUGUAAACUUGUACAAACACUCCUACUUACCAGCGCCCAUCUCCUGGGAUUAUGCUAGUUGUGCUCAUGUUAGGGGUUCUCCAGAUAGAGACAGAUUCUGAGGCCCCCUUAGUAAGUGAGCAAAGGCUCUCUCUCUCUCUCCCUCUUCCUCCUCCAGGGGAAUUGUGGGUUUGUGUUCAUCUUUUCUACGUGAAUCUUUUUGUAUCUUCUAAAAUGCAGGGCCAUAGAAUGAGCGGCAUGGAGAAGAGGGCGGACAGAGACCUGCUUCUCUUCCAACACAUUUCCGUUUGACACGUUCACAUGUCACUUUCAUGAGUUUGUUACAUUUGUCUAUCCCUCCGUGUUUUACCUUAGAUUUAUACUGAGCCUCCUCUCUAAUAGUAAUAUCCAUGAAAUCAUUGGUUUGUUAUAUACCAAUUGUAUUUCAGUGCAAAAUAAGUAAGUAAUAAAUAAGUAAUCUGUUUA
Molecule: long non-coding RNA, 935 nt
Organism: Canis lupus familiaris (dog)
Lineage: Eukaryota; Metazoa; Chordata; Mammalia; Carnivora; Canidae
Exons: 2
Source: RefSeq, a predicted model, not a curated record